This 457-nucleotide ribosomal RNA is filed under the name uncultured bacterium. RNAcentral describes it as "bacterial SSU rRNA". It matches the Rfam family "Bacterial small subunit ribosomal RNA", at positions 30 to 481 of the family's 1533-position model. The record is from RNAcentral.
AUUGAACGCUGGCGGCAUGCCUUACACAUGCAAGUCGAACGGCAGCACGGGUGCUUGCACCUGGUGGCGAGUGGCGAACGGGUGAGUAAUAUAUCGGAACGUACCUUAUCGUGGGGGAUAACGCAGCGAAAGCUGCGCUAAUACCGCAUACGCCCUGAGGGGGAAAGCGGGGGACCGUAAGGCCUCGCGGCGAUUAGAGCGGCCGAUAUCUGAUUAGCUUGUUGGUGGGGUAAAGCCCACCAAGGCGACGAUCAGUAGCUGGUCUGAGAGGACGAUCAGCCACACUGGGACUGAGACACGGCCCAGACUCCUACGGGAGGCAGCAGUGGGGAAUUUGGACAUGGACGCAAGUCUGAUCCAGCCAUUCCGCGUGCAGGAUGAAGGCCCUCGGGUGUAAACUGCUUUGUACGGAACGAAAACGGUCUCUCUUAAUACGGGGGGCUCAUGACGGUACCGU